UACGUAGGGUGCAAGCGUUGUCCGGAAUUAUUGGGCGUAAAGAGCUCGUAGGCGGUCUGUCGCGUCGGCUGUGAAAUCUCGGGGCUCAACCCCGAGCCUGCAGUCGAUACGGGCAGACUAGAGUGCUGUAGGGGAGACUGGAAUUCCUGGUGUAGCGGUGAAAUGCGCAGAUAUCGGGAGGAACACCGGUGGCGAAGGCGGCAUUCUGGACCGAAACUGACGCUGAGGCGCGAAAGCCAGGGGAGCAAACGGG
This 253-nucleotide ribosomal RNA is filed under the name uncultured bacterium. RNAcentral describes it as "partial 16S ribosomal RNA". It matches the Rfam family "Bacterial small subunit ribosomal RNA", at positions 524 to 776 of the family's 1533-position model. The record is from RNAcentral.